Molecule: ribosomal RNA, 492 nt
Filed under: uncultured bacterium
Lineage: Bacteria
Description: partial 16S ribosomal RNA
Rfam family: Bacterial small subunit ribosomal RNA
Source: RNAcentral
AGUGAACGCUGGCGGUAGGCCUAACACAUGCAAGUCGAACGGCAGCACAGUAAGAGCUUGCUCUUACGGGUGGCGAGUGGCGGACGGGUGAGGAAUACAUCGGACUCUACUUUUUCGUGGAGGAUAACGUAGGGAAACUUACGCUAAUACCGCAUACGCCCUACGGGUGAAAGCAGGGGAUCUUCGGACCUUGCGGGAUUGAAUUAGCCGAUGUCGGAUUAGCUAGUUGGCGGGGUAAAGGCCCACCAAGGCGACGAUCCGUAGCUGGUCUGAGAGGAUGAUCGGCGACACUGGAACUGAGACACGGUCCAGACUCCUACGGGAGGCAGCAGUGGGGAAUAUUGGACAAUGGGCGCAAGCCUGAUCCAGCCAUACCGCGUGGGUGAAGAAGGCCUUCGGGUUGUAAAGCCCUUUUGUUGGGAAAGAAAAGCAGCAGGUUAAUACGCCGCUGUUCUGACGGUACCCAAAGAAUAAGCACCGGCUAACUUCGUG